AGUCAGGUAACGAGCGAGAUCCCUGCCUCUAGUUGCUACCAUUAUUCUCAGGAGUAGUGGAGCUAAUUAGAUGGACCGCCGUCGCUGAGACGGAGGAAGGUGGGCUACGGCAGGUCAGUAUUAGCCCCGAAAAUCCCUCGGGCCACACGCGGGCUGCAAUGGUAAGGACCAUGAGUUUAGAUUUCCGAAAGGAGGAGGCAAUCUCUAAACCUUACCACAGUUAUGAUUGAGGGCUGAAACUCGCCCUCAUGAAUAUGGAAUCCCUAGUAACCGCGUGUCACUAUCGCGCGGUGAAUACGUCCCUGCUCCUUGCACA
Molecule: ribosomal RNA, 316 nt
Filed under: uncultured archaeon
Lineage: Archaea
Description: bacterial SSU rRNA
Rfam family: Archaeal small subunit ribosomal RNA
Source: RNAcentral